Molecule: ribosomal RNA, 258 nt
Filed under: uncultured prokaryote
Description: partial 16S ribosomal RNA
Rfam family: Bacterial small subunit ribosomal RNA
Source: RNAcentral
UACGGAGGAUGCGAGCGUUAUCCGGAUUUAUUGGGUUUAAAGGGUGCGUAGGCGGCUUUUUAAGUCAGCGGUGAAAUUUUGCAGCUUAACUGUAACAGUGCCGUUGAUACUGGGGAGCUAGGAUUUGGUUGCUGUGGGUGGAAUGUGUGGUGUAGCGGUGAAAUGCUUAGAGAUCACACAGAAUAUGAUUGCGAAGGCAGCUCACAAAGCCAAGAUUGACGCUGAGGCACGAAAGUGUGGGGAUCAAACAGGAUUAGA